Molecule: transfer RNA, 74 nt
Filed under: compost metagenome
Description: tRNA-Leu
Rfam family: tRNA
About the family: Transfer RNA (tRNA) molecules are approximately 80 nucleotides in length. Their secondary structure includes four short double-helical elements and three loops (D, anti-codon, and T loops). Further hydrogen bonds mediate the characteristic L-shaped molecular structure. tRNAs have two regions of fundamental functional importance: the anti-codon, which is responsible for specific mRNA codon recognition, and the 3' end, to which the tRNAs corresponding amino acid is attached (by aminoacyl-tRNA synthetases). tRNAs cope with the degeneracy of the genetic code in two manners: having more than one tRNA (with a specific anti-codon) for a particular amino acid; and 'wobble' base-pairing, i.e. permitting non-standard base-pairing at the 3rd anti-codon position.
Source: RNAcentral
GGGUCCCUAGCCCAACGGCAGAGGCAGCAGGCUCAAACCCUGCACAGUCCCGGUUCAAAUCCGGGGAGACCCAC